UUUGACUUAAGGAGCAUAACAAUUUUCAAGUUUUUCAUACCAUUUCCUAUGGCAAGAUAUACAUUUUAUAUGAGAACAUAUUUACAUAUAAAUGUAUAUACACACACAUAUAUAGACUCUUAAGAUUAUAAUUUGACCAAAAAAACACCUAGGCUCAGCAUUUAAUUAAUGAAGUUAGUUAACAGCAAAUACCCAAGCAUGGUAAAUUUAAAAUUCAUCUGAAUAAAUGGAACUACUAACAAAGCAACCUGAAAUUAUUUUUAACAAGAAAAGUCAUUCAGCAAAGGAAAUUACUCUAUACUAGCAUUCACCGUUAAAGUUUAUACUGAUAUUGUCCCAGCUACCCAUGUCUGUACUGUAAUAGUAAUUUUAACAAUUGUGUCUAAAUAGUAUUCUAGUACUUUAGGAGCAGUCUAAUAAAAAGAAUUUUAUAUUCUAUUUUUGCAGAGGUUAUAAUGAUACAGAAAACAAACAAAAAAAGAGCUUUAGGCCAUAAAAUAACAUGUGCCUCAACAGAACAAUGGUGGUAAAGCUACUGUGACCAAAACAUACUAAAGUGCAUUUAUGCCUCUGAUUAUGCAACACUGUAAUUACCACAGUAUAUCAUUUUAUCUCCACCUAAAUCUUUUUGUGAAUUUCUACCACCUAUUGGCAAUCUGUCUAAAAAUCACUUCAGCUGACAAGCUUAUUUAAAAUGUGUCAUAAAGUAUGUCUUAGUUCUAUAGAAGCCUAAGAAACACCUACACCUUUGGGCUUACUCUAAAACUCAACUUCACUAACACCUGAAGUUAUUUAAAUAGAAUUCUCAGAUAAGCACAGACUUUUUAAAGCUAUUCUAUGACGCUUAANNAAGAAAAGGCAAUGCAAGAUUAGCUAUAGCCUUCAUAGAUUAUAUUCUCAUACAAAUAUAAAAAGGCUACCUUUAAGAAAAAUAUUUUAUGAAAGCAGUAUCACAUAGCGAUUCACAGCACUGACUCUGCAGUAAGACCACUGCCUUUGGCCCAUGAACUUGGGCCAUUUACUUAACCUCUCUUUGCCUCUCUUUUCUUAUUUAUAAAUGAAAAUAAUAAAAAUACUUAUUAUAAGAGUUAAAUGGGUUAAUAAAUGCAAAACAGAACAGUGCCUG
Molecule: long non-coding RNA, 1126 nt
Filed under: Capra hircus (goat)
Lineage: Eukaryota; Metazoa; Chordata; Mammalia; Artiodactyla; Bovidae
Description: lncRNA (ENSCHIG00010004877.1)
Source: RNAcentral